Molecule: long non-coding RNA, 500 nt
Organism: Vicia villosa (hairy vetch)
Lineage: Eukaryota; Viridiplantae; Streptophyta; Magnoliopsida; Fabales; Fabaceae
Exons: 3
Source: RefSeq, a predicted model, not a curated record
UGAUAUAAUGAUGAUAAUUUGAAAAUGAAACUUGACACGUGAGAGUCACACGUUCGAAAUUCUCAACAGAAUCUCGAUGUUAGGGUUUUGCUUUCUCAAAUUUUCAACAGAAUCUCGAUGUUAGGGUUUUGCUUUCUCAAUUCGAGAAACUAGUUAGCGUUAUGUCGUUCAUUCACCUCGAUCGUUUCCCUCCAUGCUCGAGGAUUCUGAAAGACGAAAUCUCGGUUCAGAUUGCUUCCCAACAACAUCACCGUCAACAACAUCGCAACUCACUCGGACACAUAAAAUAAGGAUUUGUCAACAUAAAAUGGAUGAUUGUUUGGGAACCUCAUCUUUAGAAGGCCAUAACUAUGAUUCUUUCUGCUGCUAAUGAUUCCAAAUGGCAAACUAGAUCUGCAUACUUUCAUGUACAGGCACGCUUUCAUUCUCUCAACUUCAAAGAAACAAGAAAUUUGGAGAACGGUUGAGAAGUUACCAGUAGACAUCCAAGUUAGGCAAGC